UUUACAAGAAGCUAUUCUACUUUUGAGGAAAAGUUUCCUGAAAGAGAUGCAAGAAAUGCAGCUAUAGCUGAACUGAAGCUUAAAUCCAGUCAGAUGCAACAUCAUCCACUCUUCUUCUCCAGAUAUCAUCCAGUUCCUCUUCUUCCUCCUGGAACUGCCAAUGAGAAGGUUGUGGUGCUUCAUCCCCAUCUUCUGUAAUUGGAGCAGCAGGAACUUUGCAAGCAUUCCAGAACUGUACACAUCCACAUUCUCUGGAGGGCAGCUAGAAUGAGGGAG
Long non-coding RNA from Pygocentrus nattereri (red-bellied piranha), 276 nucleotides. RefSeq lists it as uncharacterized. NCBI's taxonomy places the organism in Eukaryota, Metazoa, Chordata, Actinopteri, Characiformes, Serrasalmidae. The transcript is spliced from 3 exons. The record is from RefSeq and is a predicted model, not a curated record.